RNAcentral lists this ribosomal RNA (963 nucleotides) under Salmonella enterica subsp. enterica serovar Typhimurium. RNAcentral describes it as "partial 23S ribosomal RNA". It matches the Rfam family "Bacterial large subunit ribosomal RNA", at positions 1292 to 2238 of the family's 2925-position model. Lineage: Bacteria; Pseudomonadati; Pseudomonadota; Gammaproteobacteria; Enterobacterales; Enterobacteriaceae. The record is from RNAcentral.
GAAUGCUGACAUAAGUAACGAUAAAGCGGGUGAAAAGCCCGCUCGCCGGAAGACCAAGGGUUCCUGUCCAACGUUAAUCGGGGCAGGGUGAGUCGACCCCUAAGGCGAGGCCGAAAGGCGUAGUCGAUGGGAAACGGGUUAAUAUUCCCGUACUUGGUGUUACUGCGAAGGGGGGACGGAGAAGGCUAUGUUGGCCGGGCGACGGUUGUCCCGGUUUAAGCGUGUAGGUGUGUGUUCCAGGUAAAUCCGGUUCACUUUAACACUGAGGCGUGACGACGAGGCACUACGGUGCUGAAGCAACAAAUGCCCUGCUUCCAGGAAAAGCCUCUAAGCAUCAGGUAACACGAAAUCGUACCCCAAACCGACACAGGUGGUCAGGUAGAGAAUACCAAGGCGCUUGAGAGAACUCGGGUGAAGGAACUAGGCAAAAUGGUGCCGUAACUUCGGGAGAAGGCACGCUGACACGUAGGUGAAGUGAUUUACUCAUGGAGCUGAAGUCAGUCGAAGAUACCAGCUGGCUGCAACUGUUUAUUAAAAACACAGCACUGUGCAAACACGAAAGUGGACGUAUACGGUGUGACGCCUGCCCGGUGCCGGAAGGUUAAUUGAUGGGGUCAGCGCAAGCGAAGCUCCUGAUCGAAGCCCCGGUAAACGGCGGCCGUAACUAUAACGGUCCUAAGGUAGCGAAAUUCCUUGUCGGGUAAGUUCCGACCUGCACGAAUGGCGUAAUGAUGGCCAGGCUGUCUCCACCCGAGACUCAGUGAAAUUGAACUCGCUGUGAAGAUGCAGUGUACCCGCGGCAAGACGGAAAGACCCCGUGAACCUUUACUAUAGCUUGACACUGAACAUUGAGCCUUGAUGUGUAGGAUAGGUGGGAGGCUUUGAAGUGUGGACGCCAGUCUGCAUGGAGCCGACCUUGAAAUACCACCCUUUAAUGUUUGAUGUUCUAACGUGGACCCGUAA